AUGUCAUGAUGUGGACACUUCCUAAGCAAUUCAUUAAAGUGUUCCCAUGCCUCAUGAAACGUUUCUCCAUCCUCAUGUGAAAAUUGUUCUCAUGGCAUUGGUCUU
Cornus florida is the source of this 105-nucleotide small nucleolar RNA. The record is from RefSeq and is a predicted model, not a curated record. NCBI's taxonomy places the organism in Eukaryota, Viridiplantae, Streptophyta, Magnoliopsida, Cornales, Cornaceae.